UCUACCGAGGAACGUUGCAAGGAUGUUCAUCCCCAGGCUCGGUUGCCGCAGCGCAAGCUGUGUAAACGGCGUUCACCAGAU
Methylobacillus flagellatus KT is the source of this 81-nucleotide regulatory RNA element. It matches the Rfam family "SAH (S-adenosyl-L-homocysteine) riboswitch aptamer". Lineage: Bacteria; Pseudomonadati; Pseudomonadota; Betaproteobacteria; Nitrosomonadales; Methylophilaceae. The record is from Rfam.